Molecule: ribosomal RNA, 253 nt
Filed under: uncultured bacterium
Lineage: Bacteria
Description: partial 16S ribosomal RNA
Rfam family: Bacterial small subunit ribosomal RNA
Source: RNAcentral
UACGGGGGGAGCAAGCGUUGUUCGGAUUUACUGGGCGUAAAGGGCUCGUAGGCGGCCAACUAAGUCGGACGUGAAAUCCCCAGGCUCAACCUGGGAACUGCGACCGAUACUGGUUGGCUUGAAUUCGGGAGAGGGAUGCGGAAUUCCAGGUGUAGCGGUGAAAUGCGUAGAUAUCUGGAGGAACACCGGUGGCGAAGGCGGCAUCCUGGACCGGCAUUGACGCUGAGGCGCGAAAGCCAGGGGAGCAAACGGG